RNAcentral lists this ribosomal RNA (762 nucleotides) under Triticum aestivum (bread wheat). RNAcentral's name for it is "partial small subunit ribosomal RNA". Lineage: Eukaryota; Viridiplantae; Streptophyta; Magnoliopsida; Poales; Poaceae. The record is from RNAcentral.
AUGCCGGACAGCGGAGGCACAACCGUGCUCGACGACCUCCCGGAGUGGAUCCUUGUGGAAGAGAUUUUCGUCCGUUUGCCGCCCAGGGACAUCGUCCGCUGCCGAGCCGUCCGCAGGUGGUGGCGAAGUGCCACCUCCACCGACAAGUUCAUGCUGGACCACCACCGCCGCCAGCCCUUCCUCCCGAUCCUCAGCCACGUCGUUGAACCGCAGAAAACCAGCCUCAUGUUAUCCUUUGACGCCGAAGCAGUCCAGCAACGGCUCUGCCCGGUCAUCCGGACCUUAUACUCCGGUAUACUCGAGGCUACGUGUGAUGGCCUCCUCAUCGUCUCCCACGGAGCCACGGUGCAUGAGUUCUUCAAUCUGCAACCCGAUGGCACUCUUGCUUUGUGUGGCAUCAGCAGUGAUAGAGUCACCAUAGAUAUUUGGGUGGUACAAGCCUAUGAUGAUGAAGCCUGGUCCUUCAAGCAUCGGAUUAAUUUAUCAGGGAUGGAUGAAUCACCAUUUGUUGACUUGAAGGUUCCUAGAAUGGCUGUGCUCAGUGAUGGUGAGCUGCUGAUCCAGUUUGCUCCUACGCAUGUGGUUCGCUAUGACAUCGAUGGCAGAUUUGUAGAAUAUGUGAAAAGCGAAGAGGACCAAGACAAGAACUUGUGGCUUACCAGGCAUCGCCUCCAGGAGAGCCUUAUUCCCCUUCCAUUAUCCAACGAGAUGCAAGAAGGAGGUGCUGCAAGUGUGGAGCCUCCAUUCUUCAUAGGGCUAUAG